This 71-nucleotide transfer RNA is filed under the name Dipodomys ordii (Ord's kangaroo rat). It matches the Rfam family "tRNA". Rfam says of the family: Transfer RNA (tRNA) molecules are approximately 80 nucleotides in length. Their secondary structure includes four short double-helical elements and three loops (D, anti-codon, and T loops). Further hydrogen bonds mediate the characteristic L-shaped molecular structure. tRNAs have two regions of fundamental functional importance: the anti-codon, which is responsible for specific mRNA codon recognition, and the 3' end, to which the tRNAs corresponding amino acid is attached (by aminoacyl-tRNA synthetases). tRNAs cope with the degeneracy of the genetic code in two manners: having more than one tRNA (with a specific anti-codon) for a particular amino acid; and 'wobble' base-pairing, i.e. permitting non-standard base-pairing at the 3rd anti-codon position. The record is from Rfam by way of RNAcentral. Lineage: Eukaryota; Metazoa; Chordata; Mammalia; Rodentia; Heteromyidae.
UGGAAUGUGGCUUAGUGGUAGAGUGCUUGUUUAGUAUGCAUGAAGCCCUGGGUUCAAGUCCUUGGUACCAC